GAUGAACGCUGGCGGCGUGCUUAACACAUGCAGGUCGAACGGAAAGGCCCAAGCUUGGUUGGGUGCUCGAGUGGCGAACGGGUGAGUAACACGUGGGUGAUCUGCCCUGCACUUCGGGAUAAGCCUGGGAAACUGGGGCUAAUACCGGAUAGGACCACUUCUUGCAUGGUGUGGUGGGGAGAGUUUCGGGGGUGGGGUUAGCUCGCGGGCUUUCUGCCUUUUUGUGGGGGUAUGGGCUAACCAGGGGUCGUCGGGUAGCCGGGCCGGGAGGGUGUACGGCCAACAUUGGACCGGGAUAAGGCCCCGACUCCUAAGGGGGGGAGCAGGGGGGAAUAUUGGCCAAUGGGGGCGAGCCUGAUGCAGCGACGCCGCGGGGGGGAUGACGGCCUUUGGGUUGGAAACUCCUUUCGCUAGGGACGAAGCGUUUUGUGACGGUACCUGGAGAAGAAGCACCGGCUAACUACGUG
Molecule: ribosomal RNA, 467 nt
Filed under: uncultured bacterium
Lineage: Bacteria
Description: partial 16S ribosomal RNA
Rfam family: Bacterial small subunit ribosomal RNA
Source: RNAcentral